GACGAACGCUGGCGGCGUGCUUAACACAUGCAAGUCGAACGAUGAUGCUGGAGCUUGCUCCAGUUGAUUAGUGGCGAACGGGUGAGUAACACGUGAGCAAUCUGCCCUUGACUCUGGGAUAACUGCGGGAAACUGUAGCUAAUACCGGAUACUUUCACCGGGGGGCAUCCUCUGGUGAUGAAAGCAUUUCGGUCAAGGAUGAGCUCGCGGCCGAUCAGCUUGUUGGGGAGGUAACGGCUCACCAAGGCGACGACGCGUAACCGGCCUGAGAGGGGGACCGGUCACACUGGGACUGAGACACGGCCCAGACUCCUACGGGAGGCAGCAGUGGGGAAUAUUGCACAAUGGGCGCAAGCCUGAUGCAGCAACGCCGCGUGAGGGAUGAAGGCCUUCGGGUUGUAAACCUCUUUUAGCAGGGAAGAAGCGAAAGUGACGGUACCUGCAGAAAAAGCACCGGCUAACUACGUGCCAGCCGCCGCCGUAA
RNAcentral lists this ribosomal RNA (484 nucleotides) under uncultured bacterium. RNAcentral's name for it is "partial 16S ribosomal RNA". It matches the Rfam family "Bacterial small subunit ribosomal RNA", at positions 28 to 523 of the family's 1533-position model. The record is from RNAcentral.